GACGAACGCUGGCGGCGUGCUUAACACAUGCAAGUCGAACGGAAAGGCCCUGCUUUUGGGGGGUGCUCGAGUGGCGAACGGGUGAGUAACACGUGAGUAACCUGCCCUUGACUGUGGGAUAACUUCAGGAAACUGGGGCUAAUACCGGAUAGGAGCUCCUGCUGCAUGGUGGGGGUUGGAAAGUUUCGGCGGUUGGGGAUGGACUAGCGGCUUAUCAGCUUGUUGGAGGGGUAGUGGCUUACCAAGGCUUUGACGGGUAGCCGGCCUGAGAGGGUGACCGGCCACAUUGGGAUUGAGAUACGGCCCAGACUCCUCCGGGAGGCAGCAGUGGGGAAGAUUGCACAAUGGGCGGAAGCCUGACGCAGCAACGCCGCGUGGGGGAUGACGGCCUUCGGGUUGUAAACCAAUUUCGCCUGUGACGAGGCGUGAGUGACGGUAAUGGGUAAAGAAGCACCGGCUAACUACGUG
Molecule: ribosomal RNA, 468 nt
Filed under: uncultured bacterium
Lineage: Bacteria
Description: partial 16S ribosomal RNA
Rfam family: Bacterial small subunit ribosomal RNA
Source: RNAcentral